AACGCUUGCCAAGCAGCCGCGGGAGGUCGGGGAGAAAACCGGCCCUCGAGGAAAGUCCGGACACCGCAGGGCAGGGUGGUCGGUGACGCCGACCCGGGGAAACCCGCGGGAAAGUGCCACAGAAAGGAAACCGCCCAAGCGGCGGGGUCGGCGGCGCCGUCAGGCGCUGCGACCGGUCUGGCGGACGCGCGCGCCCGUCAGGCCACCGCCGCCGGCAAGGGUGAAAAGGUGCGGUAAGAGCGCACCGGCGGCGCGGUGACGCGCCGGCCAGGCAAACCCCACCCGGUGCAAGGCCAAGCAGGGGCGAAGACGCUGCCCGCCGAGCCCCAGGUAGGCCGCAGGGCCGCUCAGCGGCCCGCUGCGCGCCCGGCGCGCGGCAGAUGGAUGGCUGCUCACGACAGGAUCCGGCUUACCGGCGAGCUAAG
RNAcentral lists this RNase P RNA (425 nucleotides) under Thermoleophilaceae bacterium. Its description in RNAcentral is "RNase P RNA component class A". It matches the Rfam family "Bacterial RNase P class A". Rfam says of the family: Ribonuclease P (RNase P) is a ubiquitous endoribonuclease, found in archaea, bacteria and eukarya as well as chloroplasts and mitochondria. Its best characterised activity is the generation of mature 5'-ends of tRNAs by cleaving the 5'-leader elements of precursor-tRNAs. Cellular RNase Ps are ribonucleoproteins. The record is from RNAcentral. Lineage: Bacteria; Bacillati; Actinomycetota; Thermoleophilia; Thermoleophilales; Thermoleophilaceae.